UUUGCUUCCUUAACUCGGGGUCGGCGGGCACUACUAGUCGGUUUCCACAGUACACACCUCCCGUUUUGUCCUGACGGAAUUGCUUAUAUCCUUCAUCCUUUACUGAGAUCUUACUGAUGAUCCGUUUUAUUUCUUCAUCCUCAGCUUGUGCUGACCGAAUUCGGUCCUCCAAAACUGAGUCAAGGAUGAUGUGACCAAGGGUUCCAUGAGGAACAAUCUCCAAACUUAGUUUUUCCAUCUCGUG
RNAcentral lists this long non-coding RNA (244 nucleotides) under Setaria italica (foxtail millet). RNAcentral's name for it is "long non-coding RNA (SITA_LNC006825)". Lineage: Eukaryota; Viridiplantae; Streptophyta; Magnoliopsida; Poales; Poaceae. The record is from RNAcentral.